RNAcentral lists this ribosomal RNA (301 nucleotides) under uncultured bacterium. Its description in RNAcentral is "partial 16S ribosomal RNA". It matches the Rfam family "Bacterial small subunit ribosomal RNA", at positions 509 to 808 of the family's 1533-position model. The record is from RNAcentral.
CAGUCGCCGCGGUAAAACGUAGGUAGCAAGCGUUGUCCGGAAUUAUUGGGCGUAAAGCGCGCGCAGGCGGCUUCCCAAGUCCCUCUUAAAAGUGCGGGGCUUAACCCCGUGAUGGGAAGGAAACUGGGAAGCUGGAGUAUCGGAGAGGAAAGUGGAAUUCCUAGUGUAGCGGUGAAAUGCGUAGAGAUUAGGAAGAACACCGGUGGCGAAGGCGACUUUCUGGACGAAAGCUGACGCUGAGGCGCGAAAGCGUGGGGAGCAAACAGGAUUAGAUACCCGAGUAGUCCCUGUCUCUUAUACA